Molecule: ribosomal RNA, 397 nt
Filed under: Shinella sp.
Lineage: Bacteria; Pseudomonadati; Pseudomonadota; Alphaproteobacteria; Hyphomicrobiales; Rhizobiaceae
Description: bacterial SSU rRNA
Rfam family: Bacterial small subunit ribosomal RNA
Source: RNAcentral
GAACGAACGCUGGCGGCAGGCUUAACACAUGCAAGUCGAACGCCCCGCAAGGGGAGUGGCAGACGGGUGAGUAACACGUGGGAACGUACCCUUUACUACGGAAUAACGCAGGGAAACUUGUGCUAAUACCGUAUGUGCCCUUCGGGGGAAAGAUUUAUCGGUAAAGGAUCGGCCCGCGUUGGAUUAGCUAGUUGGUGGGGUAAAGGCCUACCAAGGCGACGAUCCAUAGCUGGUCUGAGAGGAUGAUCAGCCACAUUGGGACUGAGACACGGCCCAAACUCCUACGGGAGGCAGCAGUGGGGAAUAUUGGACAAUGGGCGCAAGCCUGAUCCAGCCAUGCCGCGUGAGUGAUGAAGGCCUUAGGGUUGUAAAGCUCUUUCACCGGAGAAGAUAAUGA